GUGGAUUAGAUACCCUAGUAGUCCACGCCGUAAACUAUGGGUGCUAGCUGUCAGCGGGCUUGCUCGUUGGUGGCGCAGCUAACGCAUUAAGCACCCCGCCUGGGGAGUACGGUCGCAAGAUUAAAACUUAAAGGAAUUGACGGGGGCCCGCACAAGCGGUGGAGCAUGUGGUUUAAUUCGAAGCAACGCGCAGAACCUUACCAACCCUUGACAUCCCGGUCGCGGACACCAGAGAUGGAGUCCUUCAGUUCGGCUGGACCGGAGACAGGUGCUGCAUGGCUGUCGUCAACU
Molecule: ribosomal RNA, 291 nt
Filed under: uncultured bacterium
Lineage: Bacteria
Description: partial 16S ribosomal RNA
Rfam family: Bacterial small subunit ribosomal RNA
Source: RNAcentral